CAAAGGCUCAUGAGAAAAAAAAAUCAACGUGGCAACAUCUUAAGAACAGAGAGAGAAGUUUUGGAGGCUAGAAGUAAAGAAGUCAAGGUGUUGUAAGGGGAGUGCUGUCACUAAAACAGGUUAUUUGAUAAUUAUCAAGCACUGUUCCAAGAAUGAGGAUUUCAGUAUUAGGUAUGUUUUGCCUUUUCUUUCUUUUAUCUUCUUUUUCAUUUUCAUGAAAAAAUGCUAAAAUAAUUUUUUAAAAGAUAAGAAUACUAAACUGACUGGGGUUCACUGUUUAAGCUUUACUUUUCUUUAAUUUCAAAGCCUGCUACUCAGUCAAUGAAAUUAAUGAUGAGGAAAUUGAGAAUCAAUGAAAGGAAAUAUGUUCUUUGCUUUAUGUGUAGUCAGGUAAUAGAAUACUCUGACACAGAUGAGGUCAAGUCAAAUAAUGUGGUUGGAUAUGAAAAUAGAGGAGAUAGCUUUAUCUUCAUUCAUAGCACUUAUAGUUAUUACUCUAUUGAUCAAACACAGGGAAAAUUUAUCUUUUGCUUCUAGGCAUAUUGAUAUGUUGAUUGUCUGCAAAGAUAAAUGUGCCAUAUUUUGAUCUUCUGGGAAUUUAUGUUUCAGUGUGAAAACAUGGGAGGGCUCAUGUGUAGGAUUUAUUCUGGUGCUUCCAGAAAAGGUUUAAAUCAGACACUUAAACUGAACUUGUAUGGCAAAUAAAAUUAUUCAAAUCUCAUUCUCUGAGACUUUAAAAAAUAAGCAAUGAAACAAUUAUUAAAGUAAAAACGAAUAGAAAGAUA
Molecule: long non-coding RNA, 785 nt
Filed under: Homo sapiens (human)
Lineage: Eukaryota; Metazoa; Chordata; Mammalia; Primates; Hominidae
Description: HSALNT0362404
Source: RNAcentral